UUAAGUUCAGCGGGUAACCCUACCUGAUUCGAGGUCAAACCAUCUGUAAUAGAGGGGGGUUUUUUGACGGCUAGCCUCCGCCGGGGCCCGAUGCGAGAUCGUUGAGACACUACUACGCAGGGGACGCCGCGGCGGGACCGCCACUACAUUCCAGGGCCUGCGGGGCCGGUGGCGCUCCGCAGUGCCCCAACACCGAGCCG
RNAcentral lists this unclassified non-coding RNA (200 nucleotides) under Microascales sp. RNAcentral describes it as "partial internal transcribed spacer 2". The record is from RNAcentral. Lineage: Eukaryota; Fungi; Ascomycota; Sordariomycetes; Microascales.